UACAGAGGGUGCAAGCGUUGUUCGGAAUUAUUGGGCGUAAAGGGUGCGUAGGCGGUGCGGUAAGUCUCUUGUGAAAUCUCCGAGCUCAACUCGGAAAUGGCAUUGGAAACUACCUUGCUCGAGGGUUGGAGGGGGGACUGGAAUGCUUGGUGUAGCAGUGAAAUGCGUAGAUAUCAAGCGGAACACCAGUGGCGAAGGCGAGUCCCUGGACAACUCCUGACACUGAGGCACGAAAGCUAGGGGAGCAAACAGG
RNAcentral lists this ribosomal RNA (253 nucleotides) under uncultured bacterium. RNAcentral's name for it is "partial 16S ribosomal RNA". It matches the Rfam family "Bacterial small subunit ribosomal RNA", at positions 524 to 776 of the family's 1533-position model. The record is from RNAcentral.